RNAcentral lists this ribosomal RNA (230 nucleotides) under uncultured bacterium. RNAcentral's name for it is "partial 16S ribosomal RNA". It matches the Rfam family "Bacterial small subunit ribosomal RNA", at positions 563 to 794 of the family's 1533-position model. The record is from RNAcentral.
AAGCGUGCGCAGGCGGUUAUGCAAGACAGAGGUGAAAUCCCCGGGCUCAACCUGGGAACUGCCUUUGUGACUGCAUAGCUAGAGUACGGUAGAGGGGGAUGGAAUUCCGCGUGUAGCAGUGAAAUGCGUAGAUAUGCGGAGGAACACCGAUGGCGAAGGCAAUCCCCUGGACCUGUACUGACGCUCAUGCACGAAAGCGUGGGGAGCAAACAGGAUUAGAUACCCGUAGU